GUAACAUAUCGGAACGUACCGAGCAGUGGGGGAUAACUAAUCGAAAGAUUAGCUAAUACCGCAUAUCUUCUGAGGAAGAAAGCAGGGGACCUUUGGGCCUUGCGCUGUUUGAGCGGCCGAUAUCUGAUUAGCUGGUUGGUGGGGUAAAGGCCUACCAAGGCGACGAUCAGUAGCGGGUCUGAGAGGAUGAUCCGCCACACUGGGACUGAGACACGGCCCAGACUCCUACGGGAGGCAGCAGUGGGGAAUUUUGGACAAUGGGGGCAACCCUGAUCCAGCCAUGCCGCGUGUCUGAAGAAGGCCUUCGGGUUGUAAAGGACUUUUGUCCGGGAAGAAAAGCGCGAUGUUAAUACCAUUGCGUGCUGACGGUACCGGAAGAAUAAGCACCGGCUAACUACGUGCCAGCAGCCGCGGUAAUACGUAGGGUGCGAGCGUUAAUCGGAAUUACUGGGCGUAAAGCGGGCGCAGACGGUUACUUAAGCAGGAUGUGAAAUCCCCGGGCUCAACCUGGGAACUGCGUUCUGAACUGGGUGGCUAGAGUGUGUCAGAGGGGGGUAGAAUUCCACGUGUAGCAGUGAAAUGCGUAGAGAUGUGGAGGAAUACCGAUGGCGAAGGCAGCCUCCUGGGAUAACACUGACGUUCAUGCCCGAAAGCGUGGGUAGCAAACAGGAUUAGAUACCCUGGUAGUCCACGCCCUAAACGAUGUCGAUUAGCUGUUGGGCAGCAUGACUGCUUAGUAGCGAAGCUAACGCGUGAAAUCGAC
This 763-nucleotide ribosomal RNA is filed under the name Atopobium sp. Its description in RNAcentral is "bacterial SSU rRNA". It matches the Rfam family "Bacterial small subunit ribosomal RNA", at positions 110 to 869 of the family's 1533-position model. Lineage: Bacteria; Bacillati; Actinomycetota; Coriobacteriia; Coriobacteriales; Atopobiaceae. The record is from RNAcentral.